RNAcentral lists this long non-coding RNA (1706 nucleotides) under Citrus sinensis (sweet orange). RNAcentral's name for it is "long non-coding RNA (CSIN_LNC000016)". The record is from RNAcentral. Lineage: Eukaryota; Viridiplantae; Streptophyta; Magnoliopsida; Sapindales; Rutaceae.
AUUGCUAAUUAUUAUGUUUUAUUUAGGUAAGGAUGAAAAUUAAUUAAUUACAUAGGGAUGUUUUGGAGAAUAUUUUGUAAUGAUAUCAUUCAGACUUUUAGAUUAAGUAUAAAGUUAAAAAAAAUAGCUUAAUAAUUUAAUGACUUAAUGGUUAAAAUUUUUUAUUAAGUUGAAAAAACAAACAGACUUAAUGACUUAACUAAUUAAAAUUAAGUCAAUUAAGUCAUUAAGUAAAAAAAAACAAACGGCCCCUAAGUUUGGCACCUCCCAGGCAGGAGUUAAGUCGAGCUUCCUCCACCUGCAUAUUCAAACUGAAUUUAAAAAAAAAAACUGCAAAUUUUACACAAAAUAAUAAAUUAAAAUUAUUUUAAUCUACUUUCUACUGCUUAAAUUCAUUCAAUCUCUAUCAAAAUUUUAAAUUCAACAACAUAAUAAUCUCCAAAUAAAUCUAAAUAGUUUAUCAUAGUUCAUAAUCAUGAUGCUAAUUAUCGGUAUAACAUAUGAAAAUUCCAAAAUGUCUAACAACUAACAAAAUAAUUCAUAAAAGAGUCUCAAAAUACUCCAUGUAAAAUAAGUAAAUAACAACUUCAUGUUGGGCUGCUUGACGCUUGUGGCCAAUAAUCAUCAUCUAAAAUUACCUUCUUCCAAGCAAAAAUAUUACAUAAUUAUAAAUAUUAUGUAACAAAUUAACUCAGUGGUUAACAAUAACUUAAAUUUAGCUCCUAUUACAUAUGUUUAUUAUUAUAAAAAAUAAUCAUCCAAGUACAGCAUCCAAGAAAAACAAAAAGCAUGUAUAUAACACCUAACAACAACAAUAAUUUCAUCAUUUUUUUAGUAGGAAAAAAGUUAAUACCUGUUGGUUGUGAUAGCAGAGCAAUGGUGGCUGAGAAGGUGACAGUGAAGUCGACUGUGUAAACAUGGUUGUAGGCUAAGAAGGUGAGUUAUGAGGGUGGAGAAUGGAGAGAAGUCACGCACCAAGGCUAGCAACUGAGAAUUGAGAAGAGAUGAUGCAGACACGUAGAGGGACCUUCGUGGAGGUGCGACAUGGUGGCUACUGGCUCGGAGUGUUGGAGGUGCGGCAGUGGGCGCACAGGUGUGUCAUCUUGUUUCGGUGUGUACUAGGGAUUUUGGGUUUAUUUUGGAUUUUGGAUUUGUAAUUUUGUAUAAAUAUAUUCUUUCUUUUAUUCUUUUAUUUAUUAAAAAACCAAACAUAGAUUCGAGUUCUUGGUAUUUAGUGCCAUGCCCAGACAUAUUUAGAUAUUCAUUUUCAAUACUUGGGACCAGCUUAAUAGUGCAUACCUGGACCACAUUGGUCGGGAUCGGUUCGGAUCGAGUCCCGCUAGGUAUUAUUGCCACCUCUUACCCUAAUAUAGGGGUUGAAUUUUGCUAGUUAGUAUUAGCAAAACCAUUUACCGUUGAUGUAUAAGAACUUAACAAGGUGAAUAAAAGUGCAAAACAAUUUGAGGCCAAGAGCAGUAGAUUCUUCUCUCACAAGUCACAAGUGACACAUCUCCAACACAUAUACAAUGAAAUGAGUUCCACUAUUCAUUUAUAGAAACCUCUGGUAUUUUCUAUUUGUAAUCUCGUAAUUGGUUGGAUCAAUCAAGAGGCAGCAUUAGCAGUUGAUCAUUCAUUUACUUCCAAUGAAGUACACUUGAUGGAUCUAUUUGAAUUAUUGUGAACUAAAGUUGAUUAGAAUAGAUAGG